RNAcentral lists this ribosomal RNA (253 nucleotides) under uncultured bacterium. RNAcentral describes it as "partial 16S ribosomal RNA". It matches the Rfam family "Bacterial small subunit ribosomal RNA", at positions 524 to 776 of the family's 1533-position model. The record is from RNAcentral.
UACGUAGGGGGCAAGCGUUGUCCGGAAUUAUUGGGCGUAAAGAGCGUGUAGGCGGCCAGAUAAGUCCGCUGUGAAAUCUCGAGGCUCAACUUCGAGCUGUCGGUGGAAACUAUCUGGCUAGAGUCCGGAAGAGGAGAAUGGAAUUCCUGGUGUAGCGGUGAAAUGCGCAGAUAUCAGGAAGAACACCCGUGGCGAAGGCGGUUCUCUGGGCCGUAACUGACGCUGAGGAGCGAAAGCAUGGGGAGCGAACAGG